AAGCUAAAAAGGGAUAUAGGAAAUUGUUAAUUCUCUUGCAAAUACUUCAUAAUAUCAUCGCGUGACUUAACAAUCAACGUAGGUACUCACGUUGCUGAAUGAGACUAGAGACAGGCGGACUACAUAUCCACUGGUUUCUGACUGAUAACAGAUAAUGAGGUCCAGUCCAUUUGUAACAUCGUUUGCUGCAUCGCAGAAUAAAAAUAUUUGCAAAUUGCAAGCAACGUACAUCACCAGAGAAUUGAACUCUUUAUAAUGGCUCUAACUGAACUGUCGUGAAUACAUUAACGCAGAGAACAAGUGAGCUAGCACAAUAUUGGAGGAAUAUUGAGCCAGUGAAUGUAUCAUUGGUUUUCCUGGAGAAUCUAAAUGGAAAUUGAUCCUUCGAUUUAAUGGGUCAGGGAUCAAUUUUUGUAUGUCGUAUUUAAUUUCCUAAUUCUCCUCCGUCCGAGAUUCGGGAUCCUAAAUUUAUCGACGUAUAGGGAAAUUAUGAGAGAUGUAAUUUUUUUUAAUGCCCAACUGAGAUUUGAAAUCACAAUUAUCGCGGUGAAUUUAAUUGAAUUUUCAGAACGUUAUUGAUUACUUGUUGCAAUGUCAAUUUAAAUCCUCUCAAUUUCAAAUUUCCAAAUUUUUAGUGAUUGAUGAAAAAAGGAUAUUCUAAUUAUUCUCUGUCACUUACCACAAUAUACUCAGCUCAAAAAUUGCAAGAUGACUUGUGUAAUUGACCAAAUAUUUUGUUUCCACUUUAAUAGUUCUCCCACAAGGAGCUGGAACUCGAAAGCUAAAUCUGAAUAGAAGACAUAUAUAUGACAUGUUUUAUUAUUGAUCUUUGCUAUUUAUUUUAUCUCUGUUAACCAAAUUAGACGUAAGAAAAUGAAACUUAUUGGAUGAGAGAAGAUGGCCUGUGUAGAUGUAAAACUAGAAAAGUAACA
Molecule: long non-coding RNA, 932 nt
Organism: Fopius arisanus
Lineage: Eukaryota; Metazoa; Arthropoda; Insecta; Hymenoptera; Braconidae
Exons: 3
Source: RefSeq, a predicted model, not a curated record